Molecule: long non-coding RNA, 419 nt
Organism: Osmerus eperlanus (European smelt)
Lineage: Eukaryota; Metazoa; Chordata; Actinopteri; Osmeriformes; Osmeridae
Exons: 3
Source: RefSeq, a predicted model, not a curated record
UUCCUGUAUGUGCCAUGUGCUAUAGGGCCACCUUGCAUUAGGGUCUGAACAGCAUGCAAUACAAUCGUCAUGCUUCCUUCAACAACAACUUCCAAGAUUAGUAGAAGUGACCAACAACGUUAUCUUCUUCGGGAACUUAUCUGGAGAUCCCACAUUGUUGACAUCGUUAAAGCUCAUCAAUUGUGCUUAGACUCUAGACAAGGAACCUCUGCAGACACACAACGAAACCAGCAAUGGCUCAGAGUUUGGCAGUUUUUGUUUACAUUUACAUCAGCAAAAGGUCUAUUGAACAUGUUACAUUUAUAUACAACCUUUUAAAAAAGCAGUUGAAAGUUCUGUAUGUUACUGUUUUGUUCUGGAGGUCCCAUAAUGGCGGACUGAUGUAUUAUUAUUUUCCAUAUAUAUUCUGUAUAUAUAUG